CUCUGGUACAGCAAAUGAAUCAGGGCAAAGGAG
Molecule: non-coding RNA, 33 nt
Organism: Carnobacterium divergens DSM 20623
Lineage: Bacteria; Bacillati; Bacillota; Bacilli; Lactobacillales; Carnobacteriaceae
Source: Rfam